Long non-coding RNA from Thalassophryne amazonica, 1448 nucleotides. RefSeq lists it as uncharacterized. The record is from RefSeq and is a predicted model, not a curated record. The transcript has 3 exons. NCBI's taxonomy places the organism in Eukaryota, Metazoa, Chordata, Actinopteri, Batrachoidiformes, Batrachoididae.
AACGAGAUACAAAGUCAGAGUUUCUUUCAAGACAGGAUGGCCAAACAGCAAGAACGUCUGUAGUCAUUACAAUGUAGAUUUGGGAGAGUUAAGAGUCAAAGAUAACCUUGUGGAUUUCUACACUAUGACACCAGCAAGCUGACAAACAUGUCUGCUAGAGUAGGUUUUGAGUUAAGAACCACAAAAGGCGUUAGAAAUACAGUGCUGCUCAUUCAGAUCCAUAUUUUCUCAGCUUUUCUGUUUGAAUUAGCAAACGUGCAGCCAUAAACUGUCCUCAUGCAAAGUUUACCGCUGACCCUUUGAAUGACUCGGGGUCUCUGCAUUAAUGAUUACACCACACCAACAUCUGCACAAGUGCACAUCCUAAUGUACAUGAAGCUAAAAAGAAAAGAUGAGGCUAAAGGUCAGUUGUGGAGUUGCAGUCACUGGGGCUUAAUAAAUAAUCAAUAAAACUGAUUAUACAAUCGAUGUCAAUGAAUUUCAUUAUUGAUUAGUUGGGCUGCUGAUGCCACAGACAAUAGGUCAGAAGACUACAAACAAAUUGCUUUGAAGCACAGUGGUAACAGCUAAAAUUUGAACCCAGUCAGCUUGAAUUUAUCAGAAUGGGGCUUUCCUUAGUGGAAACUUUUUUUCUGGUAGCGUAGCAAAAAAAAAAAAAAAAAAAACUGACAAUCCAACAGAGAAUCAGAAAGCUAGGUCAGCAUGUAGCUGUAGACUAACUGUGAAUACUAAAAAACAUUCCACUUCUAGCUGAUGUUACAGCAAAAAUGAUACAAGCUGAGCAACUCCCUUCACCAGUCACAGCUGACAACACAUUCUGUAUUUGUCACCUUGCUUUUUCCUGCACUAAUGGAGACAUUAGCCAACUUGUUUUCUGUUUACAAAUGGUUGCCAAGUGUUGGUGUCAUAGUAUCGUGAGAAUCACUCAUCUCCUGAGACAUGAAACUGUAUUAAAACAAACAAGUAGUACACCUUAUCUACAAACAAGAGCACAAAACGUUUGCCUGGAGGAUGAUUGGAAUAAAUUAAAAUACACACUCUAAAAACAUAAUAACGUGAAGGAUUACAAUUUUAACAGCUUGUGUGCAAAUAAUGAGAAAUACUCAAUGGAGUUCAAUUAUAUUUUAAAUAUUAAUUUACGUAUAAUUUAGUUGUAUUUCUUUAAUAACAGUUAGAGGGAUUAAUUUGUUUUUUUGGAAGACAGUAUUUACAGCAGGCAGCACAGUGGAAUAGUGGUUAGCACUGCUGCCUCAGCAAGAAUGGGAUUGAUUCCCACCUGUGGCCUUUCUGUGUGGAGUCUGCAUGUUCUCCCCGUGUUUGUGUGAGUUCCCUCUGGGUGCUCGGGCUUCCUCCCACAUCUGAAGACAUGCAGGUAAGGUGGAUUGGAAACUUUAAAUUGUCUGUGGGUGAAUGCGCGGGUGUGAAUAUCUUUGUUUGUGUGUAUGUGG